UACGGAGGAUCCGAGCGUUAUCCGGAUUUAUUGGGUUUAAAGGGUGCGUAGGCGGAAAUGUAAGUCAGUGGUGAAAUCCUGCAGCUUAACUGUAGAAUAGCCGUUGAAACUGUGUUUCUUGAGUACAUUUGAGGUAGGCGGAAUGUGGUGUGUAGCGGUGAAAUGCAUAGAUAUACCACAGAACACCGAUUGCGAAGGCAGCUUACUAAACUGUCACUGACGCUGAUGCGCGAAAGCUGGGGUAGCGAACCGGAUUAGAUA
This 261-nucleotide ribosomal RNA is filed under the name uncultured prokaryote. Its description in RNAcentral is "partial 16S ribosomal RNA". It matches the Rfam family "Bacterial small subunit ribosomal RNA", at positions 524 to 784 of the family's 1533-position model. The record is from RNAcentral.